Long non-coding RNA from Limulus polyphemus (Atlantic horseshoe crab), 713 nucleotides. RefSeq lists it as uncharacterized. The record is from RefSeq and is a predicted model, not a curated record. NCBI's taxonomy places the organism in Eukaryota, Metazoa, Arthropoda, Merostomata, Xiphosura, Limulidae. The transcript has 3 exons.
ACUCCUGGUGAAAUCUUACAGGAGUUAAGGCAUGCAAUCUUAAUGAUGCAAAAGACAGCCACUUGAUUUUUCAGUAAACCAUACGUAGCGUUGAAAUUGCUUAGUCAGGAAUUGAAAUAGGUUUCUUUUUUCUGAACUGUUUUCGUGCACCAGUCUGAUUGUUGGGUGUUAUUACAGGACCGUGAAGUAGCAAGUUUAUUCAAAAUGGUUGGGGAAAAAGAUAUGAUGCCAAAAGUUAAUAUUGAAAAAGAUAUACCUGAAUCAAAAAAAGCCCAGAUAGAUUAUAUGAGAAAAAUAGAAAAAGAAAAUCUGGAAAGAGUCCGAGGUUUACAGAAGAUUCGACGUAGAAAUAUAUAUACAGGUUUUCUUCUCGGAGGCGCUGUAUUAGGAAUCUAUUUAUAUUCCAUAUUGGCUGUCAAGCAGGAAAAGUUUUUGGACGAGCUGGAUGACCCACAGACCAUGAAACAGUGACAAAAACCAUUGUGUAUAAACUGUUCUGUAUAGAUGAUCAGCUAUCAUCCUAUUGAUGUGAUGAUAAGAUGAAAACAAUGGUCAAUCGCUAUUUAUGUAACAAAGUAAUUCCAGCAUGUAAGCUUGGAUUGAUUUAGCUAGAAACCUCCAGUGACCUUUUAAAUAUGGGGAACAGAUAAUAUUUGUUGUAGGUUUAAUGUUCUGUAAACACUUGUUAAUAAAAUAAUUGUCAAAUUUGGAAA